This 520-nucleotide ribosomal RNA is filed under the name Psychrobacillus psychrodurans. Its description in RNAcentral is "bacterial SSU rRNA". It matches the Rfam family "Bacterial small subunit ribosomal RNA", at positions 102 to 608 of the family's 1533-position model. Lineage: Bacteria; Bacillati; Bacillota; Bacilli; Caryophanales; Bacillaceae. The record is from RNAcentral.
ACGGGUGAGUAACACGUGGGCAACCUGCCCUGUAGAUUGGGAUAACUCCGGGAAACCGGGGCUAAUACCGAAUAAUCCAUUCCCUCACAUGUGGGAAUGUUAAAAGACGGUUUCGGCUGUCACUACAGGAUGGGCCCGCGGCGCAUUAGCUAGUUGGUGAGGUAACGGCUCACCAAGGCGACGAUGCGUAGCCGACCUGAGAGGGUGAUCGGCCACACUGGGACUGAGACACGGCCCAGACUCCUACGGGAGGCAGCAGUAGGGAAUCUUCCACAAUGGACGAAAGUCUGAUGGAGCAACGCCGCGUGAGUGAAGAAGGUUUUCGGAUCGUAAAACUCUGUUGUGAGGGAAGAACAAGUACGAGAGUAACUGCUCGUACCUUGACGGUACCUCAUUAGAAAGCCACGGCUAACUACGUGCCAGCAGCCGCGGUAAUACGUAGGUGGCAAGCGUUGUCCGGAAUUAUUGGGCGUAAAGCGCGCGCAGGCGGUCCUUUAAGUCUGAUGUGAAAGCCCACGGC